This 301-nucleotide ribosomal RNA is filed under the name uncultured bacterium. RNAcentral describes it as "partial 16S ribosomal RNA". It matches the Rfam family "Bacterial small subunit ribosomal RNA", at positions 509 to 807 of the family's 1533-position model. The record is from RNAcentral.
CAGUAGCCACGGGAAUACGAAGGGUGCAAGCGUUACUCGGAAUUACUGGGCGUAAAGCGUGCGUAGGUGGUUGUUUAAGUCUGCUGUGAAAGCCCUGGGCUCAACCUGGGAAUUGCAGUGGAUACUGGGCGACUAGAGUAAGGUAGAGGAUAGUGGAAUUUCCGGUGUAGCAGUGAAAUGCGUAGAGAUCGGAAGGAACAUCUGUGGCGAAGGCGACUAUCUGGGCCAUUACUGACACUGAGGCACGAAAGCGUGGGGAGCAAACAGGAUUAGAUACCCCGGUAGUCCCUGUCUCUUAUAC